This 472-nucleotide ribosomal RNA is filed under the name uncultured bacterium. RNAcentral describes it as "SSU rRNA". It matches the Rfam family "Bacterial small subunit ribosomal RNA", at positions 26 to 518 of the family's 1533-position model. The record is from RNAcentral.
AGGAUGAACGCUGGCGGCGUGCCUAACACAUGCAAGUCGAACGCGCUUUCGGGCUUCGGUGCGAGAGCGAGUGGCGGACGGGUGAGUAACACAUGGGUACCUACCUUGGAGUGAGGGAUACCGGCGAGAAAUCGCCGACAAUACCGCAUAGGCUUCUUCACAAGGGAAGCAAAGUGACGCGAGUCACGCUUUGAGAUGGGCCUGUGGCCGAUUAGCUAGUUGGGGGGGUAACGGCUUCCCAAGGCGACGAUCGGUAGCUGGUCUGAGAGGACGAUCAGCCACACUGGGAUUGAGAACGGCCCAGACUCCUACGGGGGGCAGCAGUGAGGAAUUUUCCGCAAUGGAGGCAACUCUGACGGAGCAACGCCGCGUGCAGGAGGAAGGUUUUCGGAUCGUAAACUGACUUUUCUCGGGGACGAGCAAGGACGGUACCCGAGGAAGAAGCCCCGGCUAACUACGCGCCAGCAGCCGC